RNAcentral lists this long non-coding RNA (493 nucleotides) under Oryctolagus cuniculus (rabbit). RNAcentral describes it as "lncRNA (ENSOCUG00000033610.1)". The record is from RNAcentral. Lineage: Eukaryota; Metazoa; Chordata; Mammalia; Lagomorpha; Leporidae.
CAAAACUGAAGAGUCUCUUGUGGAUCUACCUCUCUCUGGAGGCACAGGUGCUAAACGGGGUAUUAAAGGACCAUGAAGAUUUUCUCCAUCUCUUGUUGAUUAACAGGUGAGCAAUGGAUGAACACCCAGGCCAGACUUGAUGCUGCGGUCUCUCUCACCCACUGGAGUCCGCCCACGACCAAGCUCCGCUGUUUCUGUCUCCUUGGUAUCACAGAGAGCCGUGAUGGUAACAGCUCCCCCCAGUCCCAAGCCCUGGAUUCUACCCUGCAUGGUCCUGACGGCUUGUUCCAUCCACACCAAUCUUCCCUCUUGCCUUGGAAUAACCUUGGAACCUUCUGGGACUCCUUUCCUGCUCAUAGAAGUUUCUUUGGGACUCAUAGUGCCUGAGGAGGGACCAUGUCAUUUCCCCAAGGAUCCAACUGCUUUCAGCACCCCACCUCACUCAGGGCCAUGCAGUUCUCCUGCAUCAGUUAAGCUACUUGGAGGCCCCUAG